This 468-nucleotide ribosomal RNA is filed under the name uncultured bacterium. Its description in RNAcentral is "partial 16S ribosomal RNA". It matches the Rfam family "Bacterial small subunit ribosomal RNA", at positions 28 to 507 of the family's 1533-position model. The record is from RNAcentral.
GACGAACGCUGGCGGCGUGCUUAACACAUGCAAGUCGAACGGAAAGGCCCUGCUUUUGUGGGGUGCUCGAGUGGCGAACGGGUGAGUAACACGUGAGUAACCUGCCCUUGACUUUGGGAUAACUUCAGGAAACUGGGGCUAAUACCGGAUAGGAGCUCCUGCUGCAUGGUGGGGGUUGGAAAGUUUCGGCGGUUGGGGAUGGACUCGCGGCUUAUCAGCUUGUUGGUGGGGUAGUGGCUUACCAAGGCUUUGACGGGUAGCCGGCCUGAGAGGGUGACCGGCCACAUUGGGACUGAGAUACGGCCCAGACUCCUACGGGAGGCAGCAGUGGGGGAUAUUGCACAAUGGACGGAAGCCUGAUGCAGCAACGCCGCGUGCGGGAUGACGGCCUUCGGGUUGUAAACCGCUUUCGCCUGUGACGAAGCGUGAGUGACGGUAAUGGGUAAAGAAGCACCGGCUAACUACGUG